This 1006-nucleotide small RNA is filed under the name Pongo abelii (Sumatran orangutan). RNAcentral describes it as "retained intron". Lineage: Eukaryota; Metazoa; Chordata; Mammalia; Primates; Hominidae. The record is from RNAcentral.
CCGCAGCGGACACCCCAGACCGGCCUGGCCCUGCAGCGGAGCCUGCACGCGACGGCGGCCCGGGCUCUCCCGCUCAUUCCCAUCGUGGUGGAGCAGACGGGUCGCGGCGAGCGCGCCUAUGACAUCUACUCGCGGCUGCUGCGGGAGCGCAUCGUGUGCGUCAUGGGCCCGAUCGAUGACAGCGUUGCCAGCCUUGUUAUCGCACAGCUCCUCUUCCUGCAAUCCGAGAGCAACAAGAAGCCCAUCCACAUGUACAUCAACAGCCCUGGUGGUGUGGUGACUGCGGGCCUGGCCAUCUACGACACGAUGCAGUACAUCCUCAACCCGAUCUGCACCUGGUGCGUGGGCCAGGCCGCCAGCAUGGGCUCCCUGCUUCUCGCUGCCGGCACCCCGGGCAUGCGCCACUCGCUCCCCAACUCCCGUAUCAUGAUCCACCAACCCUCAGGAGGCGCCCGGGUGAGUGCCAGACACACGAGCUGCUAUUGGGAAUCAGGACAGGGUCUAGACAGAAGGACUGACUGGGCAGAAGUCAAGUGUGGGAAGGGAUGUCUUUUUUUUUUUUGAGACAGAGUCUCACUCUGUCGCCCAGGCUGGAGUGCAGUGGUUCGAUCUCGGCUCACUGCAAGCUCCACCUCCCAGGUUCAUGCCAUUCUUCUGCCUGAGCCUCCCAAGUAGCUGGGACUCCAGGCGCCCGCCACCACGCCCAGCUACUUUUUUGUCUUUUUAGUGGAGACAGGGUUUCACCCUGUUAGCCAGGAUGGUCUCGAUCUUCUGACCUCGUGAUCCGCCCGCCUCCCGAAGUGCUGGGAUUACAAGCGUGAGCUACCGCGCCCGGCGGGGAGUGGAUGUCUUAGAAUGUGCAGGCCGGGCUGGGUGUGGUGGCUCAAGCCUGUAAUCCUAGCACUUUGGCAGACAGAAGCGGGAGGAUCAUGUGAGCUCAGGAGUUCGAGGCCAGCCAGGGGAACAUAAUGAGACCUCAUCUCUAUUAAAGAAAAAAAAAAAAAAA